Molecule: non-coding RNA, 2139 nt
Organism: Salvelinus sp. IW2-2015
Lineage: Eukaryota; Metazoa; Chordata; Actinopteri; Salmoniformes; Salmonidae
Source: RefSeq, a predicted model, not a curated record
CUCUCUCUCUCCCUACUCUCACUCCUUCUCCCUCUCUCAGAUGGAGCAGCCGUCGAUGGAGCAGAAAGGUCAUGCCAACGUGCCGUGGAUAGUGGAACCAGGGCAGGAGGCCAAGAGAGGAGCGAACACCAAAGCAAAGCCAAUUCUCCAGCACUAGGUUUGCGUGRUGAUGUUUUGGGGGAUUUUGUUGUCCAGUACUGGCAACCCAGAGGAAAGUGGAGGGAACAUUUGUUUAUCAGUUCCAUCCAGUUGGAGAGGAUAAUGGACUGCUAUGAGAGAUGAUGUAGCAAAUGUUACUUAACAAAAAAAAGUUGCUAGUUCAACAGACUCCUGUCUUGAUCAUAUAUCAGUCUUUGAUUUUUACAGCAGAUUAUUUUUUUGAGACAUAUUUUGAGAAUUUUUUGUGGCAAAGCGUUGUUUGUUUAUUUGAGACUAAUUGACCUUUGACACAGGAAGGAAUAGUUUUUAAACCACAUGCUAUACCUGUGUCCAGAUUGAAUUUGUUUAAAAUAGGUUAUUAUUACAUUUAUCAUUUUCUUUCUAUCCCUUUUUUGUUGGGAAAUGCUGAAAAGGUUUAGCUUGUGGCUUGUGAGGCMCAUGGAGUCCAUUUUGGACUGACUGGUAACGAGGGAGGGGCGGGGCCGGUGGAUAGAAGGCGGGGUUUGGGGACUCUGGAUAAGUGGUGUGAUCUCAUUUGCAGGGCAAUGCCGGACGCCCAUGUCUAUUACUGUGGAAUGCAAAGAAUGUAGCCAGCCUUAAACAUGGACCCUCUCACACACAAUGCAAAAAGGACUACAAAUGUGGACCCUUCUGUCUCUGUGUCAAAGGACUACAAACAUGGACACUCUCUAACGAACUUGGUGUUUAAGGUUGAUUACAAAACAAGGACAUCUUCCCACAAACCACAAAAACAUUCGACCAUGGACUAUCUGUGUACACACACACAACACACACACACACACACACACACACACACACACACACACACACACACACACACACACACACACACACACACACACACACACACACGCACACACACGCACAGAGAGUUAAGGGACUGCUUAGUAACAGAUGUCAGUCAGAUAUGUGAAUGUAGACUUUCAUUGAAGCAACUACAACUCUAGCCCCUGUUCUGCAUUCAAUUGGACCUUGACCUUUGAACUCUAUACCACGGUCACCCAAGGUCUGGACUGUAACGGACAACUGUCCACAAACGCACCACUGGGGCAUGUCUGUAUUUGAAUGGGGAUGAGGUAAAGGACUUCUGGUUGGCUCUUUUCCUCUUGUUUAAUGGUCAAUAAUACAAUAAUAUGGAUAGAAUUGGACUAGCCGUGCCGGACCACCAUGCAACAGGUGAGCCAUGUGCCAAGUGGCAUCACAAAGGAUGGCUCCGCCUACCUGAGCAAAACGCCAUCCAUCCCAAUUAAAGAAAUAUUCAUAUUAAUGCCGGACGUUUUAAAUGUUUCAUAUGAGAGUAUUAUAUUACCUUAUGAUUAUUCUUGUGUAAUUCUUGUCUACUCUUGUCUUAAUGUUACAUUAUUUUUAUAUGAUAUGCUGAAAUGAAAAAAUCCGGGCUUGAGAAUGAUUGCCAUCCUUUAAAAAAAAAUACCAUAAUAGUUCUAUACUGAGAGUGAAUGUUUCAGAUGGCUCCUCUCCUUAUGAUUAAUAAUAAUAGCUAUUAUUAUUUGUAUUAUUAUUGGUGUGUCCGGUCAACACACCAAUCUGUUUCUCAUGGGGCUAGACUCAUAACUCCAAGCAGAUAUAAUAUUUUGCCACAGUGUUUAUGUAUUCUUUGGAUGCAUACAUAGUCCUCUCUAAAUGUACAUAGAUAUUUUGCCAGCUCAUUGUUCAUACAUGUAAUGUAGUAAAACAUUUACAAAAAUAAAGGAAUAAAAUAUUUGCCGCACAUCGCACUGGAAACAAGGUACCAAAAUGAAAAGGUCAGAGUUGAAAAUAAAAUCUAUGGUUCUAGAGAUUGUAUUGGGGAGGGUUGGGACAGGGGGUGACGACAUCACUGCUGACUAACUCAUGUACAUAGGCUUGGGCUUCCAGCACAGAUUUUGUACGUUUUGGUCAUUAUUUAUAUCCUUGUAAAUCACAUGGAAUAAACACAACUUGUACAACCAUUAAUCAACA